Molecule: long non-coding RNA, 853 nt
Organism: Myotis brandtii (Brandt's bat)
Lineage: Eukaryota; Metazoa; Chordata; Mammalia; Chiroptera; Vespertilionidae
Exons: 3
Source: RefSeq, a predicted model, not a curated record
CAUUAACAAACCACAGAAUGAAUCACUAUAUGUUUACUAUUGGUGAUUAGGAUUUCCAUAUUGAAUUUAGUCUUAUGUUUAUAUCUGAAUGUAUUUUCUCCAAAAAACUAAAAUGAGUAUGAAAAUUCGUAUUUUGAUGAUUUAUAAAAUGUACAUUUCACCUGUUCUCUUUCUAUGGCCCUCCCCCAGCUUCUUCUUUAGACUGUACUCUGUCCAAUGUUUUAAUCAAUGGAAACCUCGGUUUAUUCAUCAGAUAUACUCAACAGAAAAAAGUUGGCCUAGAUACCAUAAGAACGAAAUGCACAAGCUAAUUUUUGAUAGGGUAAUCUGAAAACAGGAAAUUUGAAGUGAAAUAUUUAUUCAUGAAGAGGUUUUUUUCUUAAUUUUUAGAAAGAGAGAACCUGCUUGCAUUAUGCCGUGAAGAAAAAAUUUACCUUCUUUGAUUAUCUACUCAUUAUCCUCCUAAUGCCUGUCCUGCUCAUUGGAUAUUUCCUCAUGGUCUCCAAGACAAAGCAGAAUGAGACUCUUGUCCGAAUGCUCCUUGAUGCUGGCGUGGACAUUAAUGCUGCAGACUGUGUGAGCUUGAGGUUGUUUAUAUACGGCCACUAAACUCGCGGGAAUAACAUCUUUAUUGAAUACAGAACAUUAAAAAAAAAAACACUGCUCCACCAUUUGUGAGAAGUUAAGGAAGAUGAAGGCUCUGAUAACAAAAUUCUUCCUUGGUAGUUAAGGGGCUGGAGUCAGAAUGCCUUCGGGUAAACCCAGGCUUGCCACUUUUUACCUGUGUGCAUUUUGGCAAGUUAUAAACUUCCUCGUCUUUCUGUUUCCUACUCUGUAACAUGAGCAUAUUGAU